RNAcentral lists this ribosomal RNA (546 nucleotides) under uncultured cyanobacterium. Its description in RNAcentral is "bacterial SSU rRNA". It matches the Rfam family "Bacterial small subunit ribosomal RNA", at positions 232 to 793 of the family's 1533-position model. Lineage: Bacteria; Bacillati; Cyanobacteriota. The record is from RNAcentral.
CGCGUCUGAUUAGCUAGUUGGAGUGGUANCGGCACACCAAGGCGACGAUCAGUAGCUGGUCUGAGAGGAUGAUCAGCCACACUGGGACUGAGACACGGCCCAGACUCCUACGGGAGGCAGCAGUGGGGAAUUUUCCGCAAUGGGCGAAAGCCUGACGGAGCAAGACCGCGUGCGGGAGGAAGGUCUAUUGAUUGUAAACCGCUUUUGAUAGGGAAGAAGAUCUGACGGUACCUAUCGAAUCAGCAUCGGCUAACUCCGUGCCAGCAGCCGCGGUAAUACGGGGGAUGCAAGCGUUAUCCGGAAUUAUUGGGCGUAAAGCGUCCGUAGGUGGUUUUAAAAGUCUGUUGUCAAAUCGCGAGGCUUAACCUCGUACAGGCAGUGGAAACUAUAAGACUAGAGUGCGGUAGGGGUAGAGGGAAUUUCCAGUGUAGCGGUGAAAUGCGUAGAUAUUGGAAAGAACACCGGUGGCGAAGGCGCUCUACUGGGCCUGCACUGACACUGAGGGACGAAAGCUAGGGGAGCGAAAGGGAUUAGAUACCCCUGUAG